CUGCUGUAGGACAGACCUGGCUCCCAGCGUUUCUCUUUCCCAGGAAGGCCGGAAUUAGAAGCCCUUGGAACAGAACACAAAACUCCUGUAAUUCUGUUGUUUUCUCCUCAAAACCUCUGAGCUUAACUCUCAAAUCAACCACAUGAGAAAAUCUGCAACUACAGAGCUGGGCUGUGGCUGAGAGCUGAGCCUCAAUACCCAUUAUCUGCAUUCAGAGAGCUGCACCGAGGGCUGCAGGGCCCAGUGCUGGUAGCACAGCAAGCUCCAUCUACUACCUUGACCUUUGGCAGAAGCCCAGAAAGGCAUUUUUGGAUCACUGCUCAAAACACAGUGAGAAGCAGAGCCAAGAGCAAGCGAGAAAACAGAGCUGCUUCGUGGGGGCUUCACAUCGCAUCCGAGCAGAAAGCAAUUUAUGUAAGCCCUGCUUGGCAUAGUGUCCGUUGUGCCUUACUCUACUUGUAAAACACUCCGAAGGCCAGCCCGUUGCUAUAGAAUAUUGUUUUUCUCUGAAAGAAAACAUUCUCAAGGUCUCCCCGUUGCAUCCACGUGGCACGGAAUCAUCUCUAGGAAGCUCCAGCAGGCAUUCACAUGCAUUGCCACGAACCACUGCCGGCAGCUGCUCCGCGCUUCAGGGCCAAGUUUUCAGUGAUGCGUUGGACAGCUAAUUAGAGCACUUGCAGGAAACAGGGUGCAGCACAGUAACCUCAGAUCACCAGUACGUAGGAGAUGGGUUUUCCAGGUUACUGUCACCUUUCACAUCACGGACUUUCUAAUCAAGCUGCUCAGAUUCCCGAGAUAACACAUCUGGAGAGCAAGCAGAAUCCCAGGUUACACUGGAUUCAGGGUCACUAGCUGAGCUAGUGCACGUGCCAUGCAGGGCCUUUGAUUCACACAAAGAUGGGAUGUCAUGCCAAAGCUGAAGAAGCUCUGCACGUGAAACAGGUUCCAGUCUGAGCCUUACACACGCACAGCCCUGACAGGCCUGCCUGGCUACCUCCUCCCUGGAGCAUGGGCUCUUUUUCCCUACAGAAACAGCAGCACCGCUCAGAUCUCUGUCAUCCUACCAAAGGAGCAAUGAGGGCUGGGGAUGGAUGCGUAACACACACAUACAGACAGGUCCCCCCUGACCAAGGGGUAUGGGGCACAUUCACGUGCUCCUAAACUGAAGGAAAUAGGGGAAAAGCAGACUGCAGUAGAAAAGAGCAACGCUUGCAGUAAAAAUCAGUUGGUUGCUUCACAUCAGCCUGCCCCUUAAAUUAAAAGGGAAACAGAGGGUACUUGCUGGAACAGAAAGGCUGUAGAUUUGAGACAAAUAAAAGAGAAAUACGACUUGACCCAGUACAGUCACUUCUGGAAUCCACUGCCCAGGAAGCCAUGGAGACACGCACCAGUGGAACAGACAUUUUAAGGGACUGGAUAAUUUUAUGAGCAUUAAUAACAUUUGCAGCUAUGCAAGCUAAUAAAAUGUUACAAGGGUAAUCAAACUUCAUGCUUCAGUGUGUAAGCUGAUCACCUGUGAGCACCGGGAAGGAAUUUCCUCUCUGGUGCUGUUGCAUUGAGCAAGUAGCCAGAGGUAGCCAGCUGCACCGCAGGGGCUUUUUUCCCCCCUCAUCAGUGUCAUUGCUUCUGCUGCUCAUGCUUUUGAUUUGCUUUUCUUCCUGCAGUAGCUGGCAGCCAGCAAAGAGACUAAGCUCACAACAUCAGUGAGAGUUUUGCUGUCAGCUUGCUAAGGUUUCCUGGUACGGUCUCGAGACAACGGUUCAGCCACAAUCCCAAAAGAGCGUCAGUUUACCUCAGGAUGGUGGUUCCUAUAUGCUCAUGCCCUGGCAGAAGGCUCACACCAAGCACAACUCAUCACUCCAGGACCCACGUUUACUCUUUGCUGCUUCCACAGUGCUCGAGCUGCGUUGCCAGCAA
Molecule: non-coding RNA, 1917 nt
Organism: Meleagris gallopavo (turkey)
Lineage: Eukaryota; Metazoa; Chordata; Aves; Galliformes; Phasianidae
Source: RefSeq, a predicted model, not a curated record